This 1017-nucleotide long non-coding RNA is filed under the name Olea europaea subsp. europaea. The record is from RNAcentral. Lineage: Eukaryota; Viridiplantae; Streptophyta; Magnoliopsida; Lamiales; Oleaceae.
AAAAGAGGCUUCGCCUCAUCACUUCUCCGAUGUGUGGGAGGUGAAGAGGCCACAUAUAUACUUAAGGAAAUCCAUGAGGGAAUCUGCGAAAAUCACUCCGGAGGAACGGCCCUGGCACACAAGGUUCUCCGUCAAGGCUACUUCUGGCCGACCCUAAAAAGGGAUGCUUACCAGUUUGUCCAGAAAUAUGACAAAUGCCAGCGCUUCUCGAAUAUUCAAAGGCAGCCUUCUCAGAACCUCUCUGUGGUAACCAGCCCCUGGCCAUUCGCCAAGUGGGACAUCGACUUUAUUGCUCCACUCCCUAAAGGAAGAGGAAGCGUGACAUUUGCCAUUGUCGCCAUUGACUACUUCACCAAAUGGGUCAAGGCUAAACCUCUUGCAAAGGUUAUCGAGUUAAAUACUACAAGAUUCGUCUGGAAGAAUAUCAUUUGUAGGUUCGAUAUUCCCCACUCCUUAGUGUCCGACAAUGGGAGACAGUUUGACAAUCCAAAAAUGCGAGAAUUGUGCGACGUACUAGGGAUAAAAAAUGAUUUCUCAACGCCUCAUCACCCGCAAGCAAAUGGACAAGUUGAGGUAGUAAACAAAACCAUCAAGCAUACCCUGAAAAGGAAGCUUGACACAUCAAAGGGGGCUUGGGUCGAUGAACUUCCCCACAUCCUCUGGGCAAUCCGAACCACAAGCCGAACUGCAACUGGGGAAACACCAUUUUCAAUGACCUACGGGGUCGAGGCCAUGAGCCCGAUCGAAGUAAGGGUCCCAUCACACCGUCGAAUACACUUCAAUGAGAUCAGUAACGACGAGACCCGGGUGAACAACCUCCACUUCCUUGAAGAAAGAAGGGAUACCUCCCAGGUGAAUUUGGCAAAGUUAAUAAGAAGAUGACCCGCUAUUAUAACUCCAAGGUCAGAAAUCGAACUCUUCGCCUGGGAGACCUCGUCCUCAGGAGGGUCUUCCAAUCAUCAAAGCCAACCGGGUCAGGAGUGUUUGGACCGAACUGGGAGGGUCCUUACGCAUCCG